CACCGCGGUUAUACGAGGGGCUCAAAUUGAUAUUACACGGCGUAAAGCGUGAUUAAAAAACAAACAAACUAAAGCCAAACACUUCCCAAGCUGUCAUACGCUACCGGACAAAACGAAGCCCCAUCACGAAAGUAGCUUUAACACCUUUGAACUCACGACAGUUGAGAAA
Molecule: ribosomal RNA, 169 nt
Filed under: Anguilla megastoma (Polynesian longfinned eel)
Lineage: Eukaryota; Metazoa; Chordata; Actinopteri; Anguilliformes; Anguillidae
Description: partial small subunit ribosomal RNA
Source: RNAcentral